This 1747-nucleotide long non-coding RNA is filed under the name Homo sapiens (human). Its description in RNAcentral is "non-protein coding lnc-XRN2-1:16". The record is from RNAcentral. Lineage: Eukaryota; Metazoa; Chordata; Mammalia; Primates; Hominidae.
CCGCUCGUCGCCGCCACCUCGGCCGCGGCAGCUGAGCCUGUGACGAGGAGUCGGCGGCUCGGCGAGCCCCCCGGGCUGCGGGAUCUGGGGUUUAUUUUAGUCCGGCGCCAGGUUUACGACAGACUCGGGGGGCGGAGCAACAUCCCAAACGAGCAAACAAUGGUCAUUGACAUCUUUUUCUCUCGCCCCCCCAACCCCCGCCCCAUAAUGGAGGCAAAAAAAGGUAAAAGGGGCAGUUGGGUGUUUCUUGGAAAGAUCACUCCCCGUUGCUUUUCCCAUCUUUGCUUUUCCCAUCCUUUGCUUUUCCCAUCCUUCGCUCCUCCAUCCGCGGCCGUUACCCCAGCCCUCGAGCACCAGAAAUAGAAACUCGGAGGCUGGCGUCGAGGCUAGACAUGGACUCCGCGCCUGGCCCCUUCCAGAUCCCAGUUUUCUAAAGUGACUUCGCACCAAAGUCCGGUAUAAUUGCGGAAUGGGGAACGUGCUGCUAAGUUUGGGGGGAGGGUGUUGCGGGGGCUUGCUUCGUCCUCUCCAGUUAUCAGCCCCUCAUUCGCUCCAUCACCUAAAGUGUUAAAAAAAAAAAAAAAGGCUCUUGGGUCCCACCGUAAGAGCGCAUAAAGAGAGGAGGUACAAUGACCGUCCUUUGCCAUUGUAGGGCUCCCUAAUUUAUGCGUUUUUAGACCCUUAAGCAUCAUUUUGUGGGCAACCAAACGGGCACUUCCAAAUUAGCUCAAAGUAUCCAAGCCCAGAGAAGAGAGAAAACACACAUACACUGAUAAAUACGCAGAUGCUAACUUGUAAGUAUUCUGUUUUUCCUCUGUGGGGAUGGAAAUUGAACAAGGGAAAGAGGGGGAACAUUUUUAUUUCCUAAAAUGUUUCCUACUGAGUUUGCACUUGUAAAGUUUUUUCUGCUUUCUUUCCCUUUGUGUGUGUUCUUACUCUCUUUCUCUCAGUAAAUAUCUCUGACUUAAGUUUAUUCUCCCAUCACUACCGUGAUCAAAAAGAAGAGAAAGACAAAAUAUCAAAACUUCCAAAUAUUUCUAGUUGUUCGCAACGGGUCUUUUUGUUGUUGUUGGAAAAAUAUAACCUGUUCAAGCGAUAUGAAAAUGGAUGCAGAAAUCAGGUGAAAAUUGUAGUUUCUUUGGAAAAAUACAAAACCAUAGAUAAACAGAUUUUUAAAACUUUGUCAUCCUUUGACUUGCAGUUUUACCCGAAUACUUAGACAUUAUGAACUCUCUACUAAAUACUGAACAAGACAAAGCAUAAGACAAAAGCAGUGUGCAAAGCAUAUUGAUUAAAUUUUGAAAACAAUCUUGCAGCAAUAAUAAUGAUAACGAGAAAACAAAGAUAACACUUUUAAGUUUUCCUGGAAACUGGAGCAGGAGAAAGAAAAACAAGGAGAGUGCUUUCUUAAGCAAUAUUUUGUUUUAUUUUUUUUCCAGAAAAGGGUGUGUGGAAUCGAUUUAAGUUUAACCUGACAGUACAUGUCUUGAAGGUCUUUUAUGAACUUGAAACACAUCGGCUAGGUCUUCAUCCUCACCUGCACUGGAAUUACCUACUUAAGAAAAACAAACUAAUGAUACACAAAGAAGCACUUAUGUAUGUAUUUAAACACUUGCUGGGAUCCUUCUGAAAACUACAGUUUGAAUUUUACGUUUCCGGUUUAGUUUAAAUUGUAUUGUUUACUUGUAUGUAUUAGCUUAAAUAAAAUAAUAGUCAUUUCAAAUGUUUCUCAGAGACAACAGGGUAA